GGUAACUUGGCCGAGUGGUUAUGGCGCUAGUUUCAGGAGCUGUAAACAGUAUCUACUAGUUCGAAAGAGCGAGGGUUCGAAUCCCUCAGUUAUCA
Molecule: transfer RNA, 95 nt
Filed under: Alectoria sarmentosa
Lineage: Eukaryota; Fungi; Ascomycota; Lecanoromycetes; Lecanorales; Parmeliaceae
Description: tRNA-Leu
Rfam family: tRNA
About the family: Transfer RNA (tRNA) molecules are approximately 80 nucleotides in length. Their secondary structure includes four short double-helical elements and three loops (D, anti-codon, and T loops). Further hydrogen bonds mediate the characteristic L-shaped molecular structure. tRNAs have two regions of fundamental functional importance: the anti-codon, which is responsible for specific mRNA codon recognition, and the 3' end, to which the tRNAs corresponding amino acid is attached (by aminoacyl-tRNA synthetases). tRNAs cope with the degeneracy of the genetic code in two manners: having more than one tRNA (with a specific anti-codon) for a particular amino acid; and 'wobble' base-pairing, i.e. permitting non-standard base-pairing at the 3rd anti-codon position.
Source: RNAcentral